RNAcentral lists this ribosomal RNA (467 nucleotides) under uncultured bacterium. RNAcentral describes it as "partial 16S ribosomal RNA". It matches the Rfam family "Bacterial small subunit ribosomal RNA", at positions 28 to 506 of the family's 1533-position model. The record is from RNAcentral.
GACGAACGCUGGCGGCGUGCUUAACACAUGCAAGUCGAACGGAAAGGCCCUGCUUUUGUGGGGUGCUCGAGUGGCGAACGGGUGAGUAACACGUGAGUAACCUGCCCUUGACUUUGGGAUAACUUCAGAAAACUGGGGCUAAUACCGGAUAGGAGCUCCUGCUGCAUGGUGGGGGUUGGAAAGUUUCGGCGGUUGGGGAUGGACUCGCGGCUUAUCAGCUUGUUGGUGGGGUAGUGGCUUACCAAGGCUUUGACGGGUAGCCGGCCUGAGAGGGUGACCGGCCACAUUGGGACUGAGAAACGGCCCGGACUCCUACGGGGGGCAGCGGUGGGGAAUAUUGCACAAUGGGCGGAGGCCUGAUGCAGCAACGCCGCGUGCGGGAUGACGGCCUUCGGGUUGUAAACCGCUUUCGCCUGUGACGAAGCGUGGGUGACGGUAAUGGGUAAAGAAGCACCGGCUAACUACGU